Unclassified non-coding RNA from Megachile rotundata (alfalfa leafcutting bee), 3444 nucleotides. Lineage: Eukaryota; Metazoa; Arthropoda; Insecta; Hymenoptera; Megachilidae. The record is from RefSeq and is a predicted model, not a curated record.
GCCAUAAAUCAGCUAACAGCUGUACCUCUCUUUUUAAACAAUUCUAACGAACGAAAGCAUAGAGUUCUUCCUAACCGUUACUUUUGGAAACGCGAGGGUAUUUAGGCGAUUCCUCAUAAAAAGAAAAGUACAGUCGAACGUUGAAGCUUGCACGGUUCGGGUCGAGAGUCGAAGAAGUCAAUCGUGACUUAGAAGUUUCCGCGUAACGCAACGUAUUAUAACCAAUGCAGGGUGGUUCGGAAAUCACUCACAACACCAUUCGAGCGAGACCCUGCACUCCUCGAAUGGGCCACGGUAGGGUGGUUAAAUCAUACACUGUACACUGUUCGGGCGAGUCCUACACCCUCGAACAGGCCACGGUAGGGUAGUUAAACGUACACAUCAACAUUAUUCGAAUGAGUCCUACACCCUCAACCCGAUCAUCGUGAAUAAUCUCACGCAACGUGAAUUAUCACGCAAAUCGAACAACAUUGAGCGAGACCCUGUUCUCAUCAAAUCGAACAACAUUGAGCGAGACCCCGUUCUCCUCAAAUCGAACCAUAAUCAACUCAACAUACACACAACGUAUAUACUCGUACACAUUUUCACCGUAGAAUCUUUAACGAAUACAUAUUUUUGUAAGGAGUUUUUUAUGCUGCAAGGCUUUUUCCCCUAAUUCGAAUCGCUAGAGCCAAUAAACUAUCCAGGUUUUUCAGGCUCAAUUGUGUCUAAACAAUUUUUAUUUACCCUCUUCCACAAUCGAAUUCAUCUAUUCCUUGAAACACAAAAUUUCUCCAUGUUGAAAAGAUUUCGACGAUACAGGGACGUUCGUGAGAAUCGUCGCGAGUAAGGUCACGGUCACCGUCUGUGUAGCGGAGGUCGUCCACGAGGGAGAGUGCAACGGUGGAAGCACUGCUUCAAAUUGUGCAGAAGUUACAGGAGGAGUUAUGUAAUACGCGGUAUAGGCCGGCAGCGCAGGAGUAUUUAGUGCCCCAAUAUGAUCCGGCGGAUGAUAAGACGGACAUUGAAAUAUAGGUCCGUAACGUUGACAGGAUUGCAAGACGUGGGGGUUGGCGUAACGAUGAAACGAUGUGCUAUAUCGCACGCCAAUUGCGAGGACACGCGCGGCAAUUUUUUGAUGAGGAGCAACGCCGAGAUCCCACCUGGGAAAUGUUGAAAACAGCACUCAUCGCUCGUUUCAGAAAACCCCUGCCCUUCAAUCGGCUGUUUCGGGAGGCUGCCAACUAUACAGCGCAGCCAAGACAAAAGCUGGGGGAUUAUUGCUUUAACAAGCUGACCAAGUUGAGAGCGUUCAACGCUCUCAAGGUGGACAUCCCUGACGAAUUUUUAAGGGAUGCAGUGAUCGGGAGCAUCGGAGAUGAAACAAUCGAGAGGACGAUUCGAUCAAACAAAUAUACGAGUGCCGACGAGUUGUAUGUAGCAAUGCGGGAGAUGGGCACGAUGCCGAAGUUGGAAGGAGUUUCGGCAGCAAAGGCGUCGCGGGUUGCGGAUCGGACGCCGAUACCAGUAGCAGGGCCGUCGGGCGUGCGAGCCGCGGACAGGAAGAAGCAGCCGGGUGACCAGCUGAAGCACACGACUAAGUUCGUGUGUUAUAACUGCGGUGAAGAGGAGCACGUUGCGAGAACCUGCUCGAAGCCGCGACGAAGGUGUAUGAGGUGCCAAAAGGACGGGCACUUGGAGCGGUUUUGCUACAGGACGAAGGUAGCGAUAAAUGUGGUACAGUUGAGUCCGAGUAAUAAUAAAUGGGUGAUGCACGCUCGAGUUAAUGGAGAAAGGGUCCAGUGUCUGUUGGACACCGGCAGUGCAAGGACUCUUAUUUCCAAGGCAGUUGCAAUUCGACUGGAUAUCAAGAUAGUCGAGGGACCUUUGAUACAAUUGCGAGGUUAUGCGAGUUUAGGGUCUUGUAAUCGUUUGAGGGCAGAAGUGACGAUACAAGUCGUGGAAGCGAUCGCCGAUGUUACCGCUAUUAUUGUUGAGACAGAGGCGAUGAUCUAUCGGGUAAUCCUAGGGCAAGAUUUCAUUGGGCAGGACCAUGUAAUUUUGAUCAAAAUGCGGGACCGGAUCAUUGUUAAGGAGUUGUCGAGCGUUGGGGUUGCGCCACAAUUAAUAGUAGAUGCGUAUGCGACGGAGACGGUAGUUGAGUUAAGCGCGUUAGAUUGCAGCGGGAUGUCGGAAGAAGAUCGGGUCGGUUGUACAGCCUGUAACAUAAGAGCGUGGACGCAAUAUCUUCGAAUGUUUAUACAAAACAAAAUGACGACCGUUAUAAUGUGAACAUUCAUUGUCUUCCCUAAUACGCAAUUGUCACAAAUCUUCUAGUUUCGUUCGUAUCGCUGAGAAAUAGAGACGUUUGCAAUCUGAGUGCAGCGUAUGCAAAACGGUUUGAAGCGGUCUUUCUCUGUUCGCAUCCGAAAGGACCAAAAAUGAACGUUCGGAGUGCAGCUAAAUAUCUGCAUAAAUCGCGUGAGUUCGUUAAUAAGUGGGUAUAACGGUAUAAAAUCACUAAAUGUGUGGACGAUCUUCCAGAUCGAGGUUCAAAAUGUGCGACUACAGCGAGGAAAGAUAUGGCGAUUUUGCUACUUUUUUCAAAAAAUCCGCAACUUUCGCUUCGUAAAGCCCAAGCUAUUUUGGCAAGAAGAAGCAUAAAUGUAGAUAUAAUGACAUUAAGACGUCGAUUAAAAGAAAAUAAUAUUGCAUGGCGUAGUACGGUGGCGAAACAUCUGCUUUCAAGAAAGCAUGUGGAAAAUCGGUUGGCGUGGGCUCAAUCAAAUAUUGAUCGCAAUUGGAGCGACAUCGUUUUUAGCGAUGAAUGUUCCUUUUGGGCUUGGUCUCCCAUCAAGCAUGCCUGGUCAGUUCGUGGCAAUCCCGUAAUCCAAAGAACUGUAAAACACCCAUUAAAGGUGCAUGUGUGAGGAUGUUUCAAUGCACGUGGUUUCGGGACAUUGUGUGUUUUUACAGGCAAUUUAAACGCACAAAGAAUGACAAAAUUAUACCAGAGAGGACUAUUGCCAUCAACAAAACGGUGGUUUAAUCAAUCUGGUGAUAGAUGACUUCUGCAAGAAGACAACGAUCCAAAACAUCGGAGCCGGGUGUGUACCGAAUGGAAGGCGAAAAACAACAUCAUGGUGCUGCGUUGGCCUUCUCAGUCCCCUGAUGCAAAUCCAAUCGAAAAUGUUUGGGCAAUUAUGAAGCAGAAGCUUCAAGGUAGCCGCAGUGUAACUUUGAAAGCGUUAGUGAACUGAAUUAGAAAAAUAUGGAGGUCGCUGCCUGUUUCGUGUGCAGAAAAAUUAGUCGAAAGCAUGCCGAGACGUUGCGAAGCUAUAAUCGCAAAUGGGAGAGACUGACCCACUACUAAAAAUAUUGCGUCCAUGCUCUUAUGUUACAGACUGUAAUUGAGGAGUAUAGGGAUCGGGUGACGACGUCAAUGCGUUCAUUGGAAAAAACGAG